UCACUAUGGAUUUAUAUUUGUGUCGAAUAGAAAUACGUCGAGAGCUACGCCGGCGGACAAUUUAUUUCAAUUAUCAUGAAUAAGCUCAGUGGAGACGCUGUGUGUUAUCGUUUGCUCUAGACAAAUAUAUAAACUAUAUUAUUUGUCGAACAAAAGGUUAAUAGCGAGUGCCGUGCAACGAAUAAUGGUUUGGGAAGAAACUAUAGUGACGUCUCGCGAUUCAGCCUUGGAUAUUAUGGUUACGAGAAAAAGUGUAUUUUGAAAAUAUACCGAGUGUUUUCUUGUAAAAAACGUCUGUGAAGUAUUCAUCAACUGUGCGGUGGUUUUGUUCGACGUUUUGGUGUUGUAUAUCGGUGUUAUGUCGGGUGGCAGGAGUAUCGACAAGGAGCGAAAGUCUCCUCGGGAAAGCGGGGAGGAUUCGGAGGACGAGAGCGAGAUCUUGGAGGAGAGCCCCUGCGGCCGCUGGCUGAAGCGCCGGGAAGAGGUAGAACAGCGAGAUGUGCCAGGCAUCGACUGCGCGAACCUCGCGAUGGACACGGAGGAGGGCGUGGAGGUGGUGUGGAACGAAGUGCAGUUCUCCGAGCGCAAGAACUUCAAGGCGCAGGAGGACAAGAUCCAGGCGGUGUUCGACAACCUCACCAGGCUGGAACAUCCCAACAUCGUCAAAUUCCACCGGUAUUGGACGGAUACACACAACGAUAAGCCUAGGGUAAUAUUCAUAACGGAGUACAUGUCAUGCGGCUCCCUGAAGCAGUUCCUCAAGCGCACCAAGCGCAACGUGAAGCGGUUGCCGCUGCAGGCCUGGAAGAGAUGGUGCACGCAGAUAUUGUCUGCGCUCAGCUAUCUCCACGGCUGCGUGCCGCCCAUCGUGCACGGCAACCUCACGUGCGACACCAUCUUCAUCCAGCACAACGGACUCGUCAAGAUCGGCUCCGUGGCCCCUGACGCCAUACACCACCACGUCAAGACCUGCCGCGAGAACAUGAGGAACAUGCACUUUAUUGCCCCGGAAUACGGAUCAUCACAAAUGGUGACGCCAGCGAUGGAUAUCUACUCAUUCGGAAUGUGCGCAUUGGAGACCGCAGCACUUGAGAUUCAGGGCAAUGGCGACUCGGGCAGCCACGUCACGGAGGAACACAUCAUACGAACGGUCGAAUCCUUGGAGGAGCCGCGCCAGAAGGACUUUAUAUACAGGUGUAUAAACAAGGACCCCGCCAAGAGGCCGACGGCGCGAGAGCUGCUGUUCCACCCGCUACUCUUCGAAGUGCACUCCCUCAAGUUAUUGGCAGCACACAUCCUUGUCAACACCACGGCGAACAUAUCGGAGACGAUAACGGACGAGGUAGCGGGCGGGUCGAGUGGCGAGGCGCUCGCCUGGUGUGUUCGAGGAGGUGCCAGGGUGGAGCUGGCUGCCAAGGACUUGCAGCCGCAUGCCGAGAAGUUGGAGAAGUUCGUCGAGGAUGUCAAGUACGGCAUCUACCCGCUGACGGCGUACGGGCUGGCGGGGCCGGGCCGAGCUGCCUCCCCGGCCGCGCCCGCCGAGUCGCUCCCCGCGUCGCCCGAGCCGCGCGACCUGGAGACGCGCCGCGUCGUCAACUGCAUGUGCAGCCUCAAGCCCGCGCCCUCCCCGCACCACGACGCGCCGCCCGCUGACCUGCUGAUGACGAUCCUGCUGCGCAUGGACGACAAGAUGAACCGGCAGCUCACCUGCGCCGUGUCCCGCCGCGACACCGCCGCCGCCCUCGCGCUAGAGCUCGUGCAGCUCGGCUUCAUACACGAGGUAUGUGCCAGACUAGUGCCAUGCACUACAACAUGCACCGGCAGCUCACCUGCGCCGAGCUCGUGCAGCUCGGCUUCAUACACGAGGUAUGUGCCAGACUAGUGCCAUGCACUACAACAUGCACCGGCAGCUCACCUGCGCCGAGCUCGUGCAGCUCGGCUUCAUACACGAGGUAUGUGCCAGACUAGUGCCAUGCACUACAACAUGCACCGGCAGCUCACCUGCGCCGAGCUCGUGCAGCUCGGCUUCAUACACGAGGUAUGUGCCAGACUAGUGCCAUGCACUACAACAUGCACCGGCAGCUCACCUGCGCCGAGCUCGUGCAGCUCGGCUUCAUACACGAGGUAUGUGCCAGACUAGUGCCAUGCACUACAACAUGCACCGGCAGCUCACCUGCGCCGAGCUCGUGCAGCUCGGCUUCAUACACGAGGUAUGUGCCAGACUAGUGCCAUGCACUACAACAUGCACCGGCAGCUCACCUGCGCCGAGCUCGUGCAGCUCGGCUUCAUACACGAGGUAUGUGCCAGACUAGUGCCAUGCACUACAACAUGCACCGGCAGCUCACCUGCGCCGAGCUCGUGCAGCUCGGCUUCAUACACGAGGCGGACCGCGACAAGAUCUGCCGGCUGAUGGAGGAGUCGCUGCGCAGCAGCUUCGGCGGCCGCUGCCCCGCGCCGCCGCUCGGCAGCUAGUGACGUCAGCGCGUGACGUCAGCGCUGCCGUGUCGAGGUUGGUCAGUCCCGUAGCCGCCGCCCGCCGGCGUUCAGUACGUUAGAGUUACGCAUAUUUAUACCUAGCGAUGGUCGCCACGAUCAUGAGAUUUUGUAUUGCCGUGUCAUGUAUUUUGCAUAAGUAUGGUACCGAUAGUCCGCGGAAUUCCGACUUGAGGCUUGUUUAAGCGGGGAUCCUACGGUUCCGAAUGUUAUUUAUUUUUACUUUAAUGUUAGGAAGUAAGGAGUGUGAGCGCAACAUCACUAUUUAGUUUUAUAUGAAAUUAAACCAAUACGAUAGCUACGAUAACUCGAGUCCUCGCGUAAACAAGUGUCCAUCUUGCAAUCUUCACGUCAAUCACAGCUUGUACUACUGACAGCAGUUCUAUGAGUUUUAUUCAGAGAAAGUAAGAAAACAUCUGUCAUUUGGCAAAACUGCUGUAUAGAGUAAGAUAGUGUGCGGAUAGUGUACGAGAUGAGGUACCUUCUAAUAUUGCAUUUCACCUCCAAAAAAACUUACUAGUCGAGUGUGAAUCUAAAUCGAUCAGCCGAAUCAUUCGUUUUUAAAUUAAUCGAUACGCUUUCUUAAAGGAAAUUGUAAAAAUAUAAGUUCACUUUAAGGCGAAAUGUAAAAAUUGUAAAGUUAUUGAAGAUUCGGAACGGUUCAUAAUUUAGUUCGAACAUCGAGUAUGCUUUAGUGAUGUAGAAUUUUGUAUGAAUGUGUAUAUGUUAUAAAUGAUAUUUAAAAGAAAAAUAUUUAAAUUAAACGUUUACUUUUAAUUAUAUGUAUAGUGAGGCUUCCUCUUAGAGCUUUAUGGAUGUGGUUAUAAAUAAUAAGUAUACGGAAAAUUGAACAUACUCACUAUGAUGAUAAGGUUGAAAUUUGUACUGUACUCGCGUCGAUUAUUACUUUUUACUUACGAACGGACACUGGACUUUGUUUGUUGACUACAGUCGAGUAGUUUGUUAAGAUUUUUAAUGAGACGCUUAUUAUAUUAUUCUGUUUUGUAUGGACGCUUGUGGCUGUCACGUCGGACGCUCUUUAGACCAAGUAACCAGAGAUAAAACUCUCUUUUUAAUAUCGAUAAAUAAAGUCACCACAUUUUUGCAGUUUUGUGAAGUCGUAAAAACAUGAUGAAAUGUGAGAGCGACAGGCGUCCCAUCACAUAUAUUGUAUGCAUGUUUGAAGUCAAUUGUCCAAACUUGUGAUGUUUUGAUGUAAAUUAAUGACUUUAUGACGAGCCUUGUAUUCAUGUCAGCGAAAUAAAAAAUAAAUAAUAAUCUUUGUCUUCACCUAUUUAUCUAUAAAUAGGGCUGUUACGAAAAUAUCGAUAUAUUUUUGCUUUUGCAAUACAAGGUUCUUUAUGAAAAUAAUAAUAGUUUUGCAUUUACACAUACUUUUUGGUUAUAUACAAACGGUGAAGUUUCAGUUAAGAUACGUAACGCUAUAGUGGUGCUAGUAUGCGUGUGCAGCAGUCUAUUAAAUUCCUUAUAUUGUAAUAUCUCGACAAACGUGAACAUGGAAGGAUUACUUCAACUGUGUUCUUUUACUAACUGAUAGAGAAAGACAGUGAAAAGGAUUGUUAAUACCUUUGAAAUUAAAAAGAAAUUAAAAUUCGCUGCGGUUUCCAUCGAUAGUAUGUCGCUUAAAUAGUGCGAUAUUUUAAUAGAAAUUGAUUUGUCUUUUGGUCUUUUUUUACCAGUUGUCAAGGCAGUUGUUCAUAAGUGAUCCUUCUGUUUCCAAUUGUUGCAUUAUUGUGUAUAUUGUCAUACUUAUAGAAUCGCAUCGGCACCGGUUCCUAGUUCGUUAGUUAUAUUCCAAAACGUUUUGGUGCUGACACACAUUUUUUUAAUUUUAUAUUUUGAAAAAAAUUUCGCUUUUUCCGUAGAGGUGUAAAGUGACAUGCACGUUUAUCUAAAACUUGCUGUUCUUAUGAAUUAAAUUACUUAGCAACAUGGCCGUUCAUCACCAAGUUAUCGAUAAAAUGUGCUUGUUUGUUACACCUCUACGGAUAGCGAGCUACACAUUUGGUUAACGCUAGUGGUGCCAAAUAUACGAGGUGCCAACAAUUCGUAUUACUUUCUCACGACAAUUCAGUUAUUUUACCUUCAUUCCCACAAGUAACGGCUUGCAGAUGACAAUAGAUAUAAAUCAUUUAUUAAACAAUAGAACGGAAAUGAAGGGCUAUUGAAACACCAACGUUCGCAUCGAUAGGUUUUAAAUAUUUGAUAUUUUAUCUUCAGUAUUCUUGCUUUAAUAACUUCCAAUUACUCAAUUAAUUUUUACCAGAUUUUUGUCGACUUUAAUUGUGCUUAGAUAGAGAAACAGUUGCCUAAUAUCAAGUUUCUGUUAUGAUUAGUACACACGAUGCGAACCCCUUAUGCCCCCUCGGUACAGAUGUUCAGGUGUUCGGUAAAGCAGCGUUUUCACCGCGUUGGUUGUGUCAGUGCCUGCUGUGUGCAACAUGCUUUAAACAAUUGUUGAAGUAUUUUUGAGUACAGUGGAUGGUAUCAGAAAUAGUAUUGCGGGAAUUCGAAUAUCCAUCAACAGAAUUGAUCAAAUAAAGAACCCAAAAUCACUCUUAAUUUCGAUGAACAAUAUCGAUGUUUUGAGUUACGUUUGAAUUGCCUGCCGUUUUCUUCUAAGUCGAUAUAUCUGACGCACAGUACUGAUGUAUACUUCGAUGCCAACAUGAGCAUGUUGCAGCAGUAGGCAUCGUGUCGGCAUGUGGCUAGGAGUGUAGGCGCAGUAGUGUAGAGUAGUGUAAACGAAAGACUGGCUAAUGUAAAGAGUUAGGUUUGUCGCGCGAGGCCGGUGUCGCUCCCCUCGAACACUUCGGCUUAAGUACUAACUUAUUAAGGUGCGGGAAUUUUCGUUGACGUUACCAAAAAACUAUAUACGCUUAUAUGUAUAUGUAUAUUAGGAAAUAUAAUUAAAUUAUAAAAAAAAAAUUAGGAAAUUUUUAAAUUGAAUUUGUCUCGUGGCACCGGCACCGCGCGAGUCACGUCGGGAGGUCAGAGCUAGUGAAGUGGCGUGUUCUUUGUAAAUAUUCGCUUUUAGUCUAAAACUAUACUUAUUAAUGAUUAUUGUUGUAAUGUAACUGAUUUACGUACCUACUUAUCUACCUAUAGCAUACAAACGCCGCUACGAUACUGAUUUGCUUGUAUUCAUUAUGUAUGUCGCAUUUUUAUUUAAAUUUCGGUUUUUAUUGUUUUAAAUAAAACGACGCUGGUUUGGCUGAGUGGCUGUGUCUUCAUAGUGAAAUUAGCUUAAAUAAGCAGCUUAAAUCUUUAUUGAAUAAAUAUCUUAUGGAACACGACGUUAGCCAGCCACUUUCCACCAGUAAUACUAAAACAUUCAGCAGCGGCUUUUAGCACAAAAGCCAUCACAACGUUACCUACACUGCUUUUGCGAUAAUUUUAGAUAACUCUCACCUUUAUCUAUGUUCCUAAGAGUACCACUUCACUUCGGUGGCGCUGCAAACAAUAUUCCAUUUUACUUCGCUCACCAACAUACAUCAACUAAACCAAGGCUUUUCUGAACAUUAACUAAUCUGGUGCUAAACUAAUCCAUACUAAACUUAGGCUCUUGGAUUCAUUCAGAAAACUCUCGAGGCUAGAUCACUUUACUUUAGCGAAAUAAACCUAAAGACUUAGUCGAUAAGGCCCAUAUUCACUUGUACCCAAUGCCUAGUGAUGUAACGCAAGUUAUAGAUUAUACAAGUGUCGCGUUGACGUUAGUGUUGUACCCCAGCGGCGCCAGCCAGUGCAGUGGUAUCGACUUUUAUUUAAUUUAAUAUAACGUUGUUUAUAUUUUAGUUUCACUCAGAUUAUUUUUCUUUUGUUUUAUUUUUUUAUUUACAAAAAGUGGACACAUUAAUGAAAGAUGUUUAGUUUGAUUAACAAUAUAUUGUUGUAUAUAAGUACCCAAUCAGUGUUCUGGUUUUUUCUUUUGUUUAUCCAAAGAGAAAAAUGUGUUCAUCUAUGAAAAUAUUUUAAUUUGCGUUUUUAUGAGAUUGUAACAUAAUUAUUUAUUGGAUCCAGAAUUGCAUUUCCCACUCGAUGAUAUGAUUUUGUCUGCAGUUAACAUUGUGCAAGUAACCGAAGUAUGAUUUAGCUAUAGUACAUAUUAUUAUUGUAAUACCUAUUAUGAUUAUGCUCAAAGUGACUUGUAAAGAAUCCAUAACAAAAUAUGAUCGAACGAUCGAGUGAUGUUUGCAUACUAUUCUACAAUAAAGAACGUCAAUAAAGUGUAUUUUAAAAAAGUA
RNA transcript from Helicoverpa zea (corn earworm), 6758 nucleotides. It is a transcript of the gene named nuclear receptor-binding protein homolog, with no coding region annotated. The record is from RefSeq and is a predicted model, not a curated record. NCBI's taxonomy places the organism in Eukaryota, Metazoa, Arthropoda, Insecta, Lepidoptera, Noctuidae. The transcript is spliced from 10 exons.